RNAcentral lists this ribosomal RNA (497 nucleotides) under uncultured bacterium. Its description in RNAcentral is "partial 16S ribosomal RNA". It matches the Rfam family "Bacterial small subunit ribosomal RNA", at positions 28 to 507 of the family's 1533-position model. The record is from RNAcentral.
GAUGAACGCUGGCGGCGUGCCUAAUACAUGCAAGUCGAGCGAACAGACGAGGAGCUUGCUCCUCUGACGUUAGCGGCGGACGGGUGAGUAACACGUGGAUAACCUACCUAUAAGACUGGGAUAACUUCGGGAAACCGGAGCUAAUACCGGAUAAUAUAUUGAACCGCAUGGUUCAAUAGUGAAAGACGGUUUUGCUGUCACUUAUAGAUGGAUCCGCGCCGCAUUAGCUAGUUGGUAAGGUAACGGCUUACCAAGGCAACGAUGCGUAGCCGACCUGAGAGGGUGAUCGGCCACACUGGAACUGAAACACGGUCCAGACUCCUACGGGAGGCAGCAGUAGGGAAUCUUCCGCAAUGGGCGAAAGCCUGACGGAGCAACGCCGCGUGAGUGAUGAGGGUCUUCGGAUCGUAAAACUCUGUUAUUAGGGAAGAACAAAUGUGUAAGUAACUAUGCACGUCUUGACGGUACCUAAUCAGAAAGCCACGGCUAACUACGUG